CUAUUUAAACCUGCUGCUCCCAGUUUCAGCCGCUGAGUCGGCGCGGAGCCGCUGCAGGUGUUGUGGCUCUGGCGGAGGCCGCUUUGGAUAACGGUUGUGCGCGCGGGUUGCUCAUCCCGUGGCUGACCCCUUCCCCCGCAGCAGGGGCGGGCUUCUGCGGUUCGGCGGGUGGGGAAGGAGGAGGAGGGGUCCCCCUCUUGCAGGGCGGGCGUGAGGGUCUGUGGUACCCGUUGGAUGCGCUCCCGGCGCCCGGGGCAGAAGGGGGCCGGAGGGAAGCGUUGCCUCGCCGCUGCCUAAGAGGAUUUACUACGUCUCGGACUCCGCCUGGCGCCGGUGCCGCCGCCGCCCGCUGCCGUGUGUGCAGGUCCCCCCGGCGCGCGGGAAGCGGAGAUGGACGAGAAGUACCUGCCCGAGCUGAUGGCGGAGAAGGACUCGCUGGACCCCUCCUUCACCCAUGCGCUGCGGCUGGUGAACCAAGAAAUUGAGAAAUUCCAAAAAGGGGAAGGAAAGGAAGAGGAAAAGUAUAUUGAUGUAGUGAUAAAUAAAAAUAUGAAGCUGGGGCAGAAAGUAUUAAUUCCAGUGAAACAAUUUCCUAAGUUCAACUUUGUGGGAAAACUUUUGGGUCCACGUGGCAAUUCACUGAAACGUUUACAGGAAGAAACAUUGACAAAAAUGUCUAUAUUGGGAAAAGGCUCCAUGAGGGACAAAGCCAAGGAAGAAGAGUUGAGAAAAAGUGGGGAAGCAAAAUACUUCCAUCUAAAUGAUGACCUGCAUGUUCUAAUUGAAGUAUUUGCCCCACCAGCAGAGGCAUAUGCCAGAAUGGGACAUGCUUUGGAAGAAAUCAAGAAGUUCCUUAUCCCUGACUACAAUGAUGAAAUCAGACAGGCACAGCUUCAAGAAUUAACAUAUUUGAAUGGUGGUUCAGAAAAUGCAGAAGUUCCAGUUGCACGUGGAAAACCACCAAUACGAGCACGAGGAGUACCAGUCCCUGCUUUGGCCAGGGGCCGUGGAGGAGUGCCACCCCCACCAGCAGGUGUACCAAGAGGGGCACCAGCUCCCAGGGGAGUACCUUCCAGUAGAGGUCCAGUCAGUCGUGGUCGUGGACUUCUAGCCCCCCGAGCAAGAGGAGUACCUCUACCUGCAGGCUACCGGCCUCUGCCACCACCUCCAGCGCAGGAGACAUAUGGAGAAUAUGAGUAUGAUGAUGGAUAUGGCACUGCUUAUGAUGAGCAGGGCUACGACUCCUAUGAUAACAGCUAUAGCACCCAGGCACAAAGUGGAACAGAUUACUAUGAUUAUGGACAUGGACUUAGUGAGGAAACAUAUGAUUCAUAUGGGCAAGAAGAAUGGACCAACUCAAGACACAAGGCACCUUCAGCACGGACAACAAAGGGAAUCUACAGAGACCAGCCAUAUGCCAGAUACUGAUUGUACUGUCUGAUGUUGUGAAAUAUCCAAUCUCCACCAGUCCUGUAUACUGUUCCAAGAAACACUAAACGUCUUGGGGAGCCAAGAGAACAAAAACCUACAUAUGUUGAUGCUUUGGGACUUCUGUCAUGAUUAUUAUGGACUUCUUAGACUAUUAUGUUCACCAAUGUGCCUAGUCAACGAUGAAAUCAGCUUUGGAAUUUGAAAAUGCAGUUCUGUUUCCCUUCAGUAUUUUACGUACUGUAGUACUAAAGUGUAUCAUAUUAUAUCCUUUAUUUUUAACAACUGCUAUAAAAGCCCUUAAUUGUUUAAUGACUUAACAAUGUUAUUUAUGUAGAAGUCAAUAAAGAAUCUCCAUUUAAAUCUCCAGUACAAAGCAAUAAUGCAUCCUUAUGUUCCUUCAGUGGCUUUGUAAUUCCUACACAGCAGCUAUGAGCGAACCUUGUGUGGAGUUUUAUGACUAGACCCACAGUUCACUUUUGGACGUGCUUUAUCUACUGCAUGGACAAGUAAACAUAAAAACAAGUGUGCUACACAGAAGCUAUUGUAUUGCUCAUAGGCUAAGUGUAAACAGAGGUGCCUGAAGUAAGACUGAUUAAUAGAGAGAGAACAAACCCAAUUUCAAUUUCCUUCAAUAAUUUGUUUAUAGAACAUGAAGGUCAUAAUCACUGUGGACAGUAUUAUAUUGGUUUCAGAGUGGUAGCCAUGUUAGUCUGUAUUAGCAAAAACAACCAGGAAUCCUUGUGGCACCUUAGAGACUAAAAAAAUUUAUCUGGGCAUAAACUUUCGUGGUCUAGAACCCACUUCAUCAGAUGCAUCAGUGUUUUUGUAUUAUAUUGUUCAUUCUCUUUCACUUACUCCAUGGUAUAUUGUGAUUAUAAUUUUACAUCUACAGAAGUAUCUUCUCUACUCUUAUAAUAUAAGGUCACAUCUUUUCCAGUGAAAGGAAUUUCAAUCUAGUUUUUAUGUCUUGAUAAAUUUGCACUCUUGUUCCUGGUAGACCUGUUUCCUCAAUGCUUUUUCAUUUUUAUAUUAGACCUUAUUGUGAUAAUUUGUAACACAAAUAUACUUCUGGUAAUUUAACCUGUUCUUACUGCAAAUCCAACUGCUUUCCACCCAUGCUUCAGAAAUUUACUUCCAUCAGAUGCAUUUUCCUUUCUGAUAGUUAUUGAAACUCAACAAAUUCAGCCAGUGUGCAUGCUGGUUAAUCCAUUUCGAUACUGAGGC
Mauremys mutica (yellowpond turtle) is the source of this 2655-nucleotide RNA transcript. It is a transcript of the gene named KH RNA binding domain containing, signal transduction associated 3, with no coding region annotated. The transcript is spliced from 11 exons. Lineage: Eukaryota; Metazoa; Chordata; Testudines; Geoemydidae. The record is from RefSeq and is a predicted model, not a curated record.